UCCGACCUGUUUUGGAAAGAACGCAACUUGGGGUUCUGAGUCACUGAGAUCGGCAGUAAGGCCAGCGUGUGUGUUAACUCGGACUGCUUUUUCCUGCUGCAGGAAACUUUGGAAGGAAUCGGCACAUUUACCCCCGUACUAAGUGGAUUGGAAGACACACCUGAGGUGCCCCAAUCCAAGGGACCCUCAGGUCCGAUGAAGACCGGUCUGCGGAGGAGGGCUUCUUCACCAGACAUUCCAACAAAGCACAGAUUGUCAGAAGGCAUCAGACCCCCACCCCCUGCCCCCAGUGUUUAAAUUCCAGGGACUGAAGAGCUGACUUUCACUUUCUAGAAGUGUCAGCAUUCCGGGCACCACCCCCACUCUCCAGUCCAAGGCCUGAGGUUUAAUUUACCACUGAUAUCAUUGGAAUGGUGAGGCGUUUUCGCAUCGUAUUAAGUUCUGCUUUCUACGAAAGUUUGUCAUGUGUCAGAAAAUGUGAAACACUCAGCUGGCCCUGGUGCCUGUUCUGACGUCACAAAGACGUCACUUUGUACUCACUGGGCCUCAGUUUUCUCACCUAAAAUGUGGACACAAGAUGAUUUUAUUUUAUUAUUUUUUUAACGUUUACUUAUUAUUGAGAGAGCAUGAACAUGGGAGGGGCAGAGAGAGGGGGAGCCACACAAUCCGAAGCAGGCUCCAGGCUCUGAGCUGUCAGCACAGAGCCCGAAGCGGGGCUUGAACCCAGGAACUGUGAGAUCAUGAACUGUGAGAUCAUGAACUGUGAGAUCAUGACCUGACCCCCAAGUAGGACGCUUAACCGACUGAGCCACCGGGCGCCCCUACAAGAUGAUUUUUAAAGAUACUUUCAGAUUGAACCAAAGAGCUAGGAGGUGACAGUUCAGUCUCAUACUCAGAUUUGGGGGCUGGGAAGCUUUGCUAAUCCCACCCCCACCCCGCCACCCCCGCAAAACCAGAGAAAUGUAACCGUUCUACUGUGAGAGCACCCAAAGGCGGGUCUCGGAAAAUAGAGAGUCCUGGGAAGACACCAGGAGUCAGCGGGCCCCUGGGAAGGAACCUUCAGGCAAGAAGGCUGCCAGGGGUUUCCUUGCUUUCCUCCUGGGGAGGAGGAGGAGGGCAGUGGGCCAAAGCGCCGGGGCAGUCAGCCCACGUGGGAGUACUGUGUGACAAAUACACUAUCUUCACAAAUUUGAUCUUAUGAUCCUGGGUCCGGUUAAAGAACAUGUCUUGCAUUGCUGGCAAACUCCUGCACGUGGAGAAUGGCGUAUUCAGAGGCAAUCGUUGCAGCACUGUUUACCAUACAGAAGAUUGGGAAGAAGCACAGCAGCCUAUCAGGAGAAACUGACCAGAAGAAGGUAGGACACACGGCCACAGAGUGCAGCAUGUGAGAUCGGAGAGGUCCUCGCCCAGGACAGACGGCAGCAGAACCACGGACGAAACCUCGAAGAAACCCGUCAGGGUUAGUGGAUACAGCUGCAUCUGUGUGAACCCGCUGGCUGGACCAUCACAACGGGAACAGCCAAGAUACGAAGGCUGGGGAAGUGCAUGGAAAGUGUUUCUACUGCUUUGCAACUUUUAAGUCCAAAGUCAAUUCAAAACAAAACAAAACAAAAAAAAACUUUUAAAGGUUAAGAAAAACAAGCACAAAACUGUUUUCGAUAAUACCACUUUUUUUUAAAUGGUAAACAUUUAAGCUGGGAACGUUCUGCUUAUUUUUUUCUUCAUAGUACUCAAUACCAUCAAACGUGUUUUAUAUUUAUGUACGGAUCAACUAUCUGUCCUCACUAGCAGGUAGCUCCCUGAGGACAAGGAUUUGGGCUGUUUUGUCAAUAACUAUGCUAAACCCAGAGCGCUGCCUGGCAUGUCGUAGGUGCUCCGCAAAUAUUUGUUGAGUGAAUAAGGAACAGCUGCUCACUGAUUGGUUUCAUUUAUUUGUAUCUGUUGUGCAACAUUUUAAUAAUGAGCAUUACCGGGUGAUACAGCUACGAGAUAUCCCCCCCCCCAGACUAUUCUCGGGUGCACAUGAGUUACUUUUACAAUUGGAGAAAAAACACAUUUUGUAAAAUUAAUUGCUUGUGCAACAUUGUGACAACAGCAGAUAUGCAACGACAGCCAAGGGAGUUUGGAUGGGGAAAUUGGGUCAAGAGCAGUGGCAGCUGUGGAGGUGGGGUGUUUGGGCGGGCUGGGGCAGUGCAGGGCACCAGAGGAAGGUGGAGCCAUGGAAGGUAGAGCCGGUCCCCAAAGAUGGGCCAAGAGCACCCAAGGCAAACAGAGGCUUCUUCGCCCCCUACCUGGGCUAGGGGCCUCAAUUCUGAGUGUGGUUCUGAUGCUAACUACUCACUGACCUGGGACAAGUUACUCUCCCUGUGAAAUGCAGGGAGGAGGCAAA
Long non-coding RNA from Panthera uncia (snow leopard), 2389 nucleotides. RefSeq lists it as uncharacterized. The record is from RefSeq and is a predicted model, not a curated record. The transcript is spliced from 4 exons. Lineage: Eukaryota; Metazoa; Chordata; Mammalia; Carnivora; Felidae.